Molecule: ribosomal RNA, 501 nt
Filed under: uncultured bacterium
Lineage: Bacteria
Description: bacterial SSU rRNA
Rfam family: Bacterial small subunit ribosomal RNA
Source: RNAcentral
AUUGAACGCCGGCGGCGUGCCUAACACAUGCAAGUCGAGCGGUAACAGGUGUAGCAAUACAUGCUGACGAGCGGCGGACGGGUGAGUAACGCUUGGGAAUCUGCCUGUUAGUGGGGGACAACCCGGGGAAACUCGGGCUAAUACCGCAUACGCACUACGGUGGAAAGCCGGGGACCGCAAGGCCUGGCGCUAACAGAUGAGCCCAAGUCGGAUUAGCUAGUUGGUAGGGUAACGGCCACCAAGGCGACGAUCCGUAACUGGUCUGAGAGGACGACCAGUCACACCGGAACUGAGACACGGUCCGGACUCCUACGGGAGGCAGCAGUGGGGAAUAUUGGACAAUGGGCGAAAGCCUGAUCCAGCGACGCCGCGUGGGUGAAGAAGGCCUGCGGGUUGUAAAGCCCUUUCGGUGGGGAAGAAAAGCCUCGAGUUAAUACCUCGGGUCUUGACGUAACCCAUAGAAGAAGCACCGGCUAACUCUGUGCCAGCAGCCGCUGUAAC